UCUCCGUUGGUGAACCAGCGGAGGGAUCAUUACCGAGUGCAAACUCAUAACCCUUUGUGAACCUAUAUCUGUUGCUUCGGCGGCUCGCUCUCGGGCGGGCCCGCCGGUAAUAUCAGUAUCUCUGUUUGAACCCGACGAUACUUCUGAGUGUUCUUAGCGAACAGUUAAAACUUUUAACAACGGAUCUCUUGGCUCUG
RNAcentral lists this unclassified non-coding RNA (197 nucleotides) under plant metagenome. RNAcentral describes it as "partial contains small subunit ribosomal RNA, internal transcribed spacer 1, and 5.8S ribosomal RNA". The record is from RNAcentral.